GGUGCCAUUCAUUUGUCAUUCCCUUCAUUUCAGGUCUGGGUGUGAGUGGGCAGAACCUUCCAGAGGACCCCUCCUGGCGAGGAUCCUGCUUCAGAGAAAGCAAAUCUGAUCUGAGGAGAGCUGCCAGCCAUAAGCACUUCUGAAGAAGAAGGAUGGGGAGAUCUGGACCCUUUUGCAGAAUGAAAAAGCCAAGGAGUGCUGGGAGGAGAAAGGCAUCUCACAGGAGGUGAUCACCACUGCUGGCAUGUGGGGUUAUUUCUUUUUCUCUCUUAGUCCGUAAUGUUCUUUUUACAAAGUUGAA
Long non-coding RNA from Bos indicus x Bos taurus (hybrid cattle), 301 nucleotides. Lineage: Eukaryota; Metazoa; Chordata; Mammalia; Artiodactyla; Bovidae. The record is from Ensembl.